This 784-nucleotide unclassified non-coding RNA is filed under the name Hevea brasiliensis (rubber tree). Lineage: Eukaryota; Viridiplantae; Streptophyta; Magnoliopsida; Malpighiales; Euphorbiaceae. The record is from RNAcentral.
AGUGCUAAAGAAAGGCCUAACUUCCCGCAGAACACAGACCAAUUCCGCCAACACAUACUUUUCCAUUUGCAGCAAAUCCUCAAAAUAAUGCUCCCCGGAUGAGUCAAUGUCAUGGCCGCUACGAAGAAAAACCAAUGUAUUCUCCACUAUGUUUGAUACAAUGUCCUUACAACCAUAGCAAAUACCAGACCUUAAAACAGCCUUUGUGGCAAUCUCUUCACUGUAACCAAAUGCCAUUAUUCUCUUAAUUGCACUCCUGAAAAUUGUAUCCAAGUUGUUCAAGACAAGCUCUUCUAGCUGGGCUUCUGUAAAAUCACUCCAAUCAGCAUCAUGGAACUGUUCAGUUGUUUCAACUACCUCUCUUGGCUCACUUGGACCUACUUCCGACGAUCCUACACUGCAAGACAAUCCGAGGUCAAGUUUCAAACUCUCUGAGCUGUCUUGCUUCAGGCUACACAUAUCACAACCAUUCGACAAUUCAUGAGUAGGGAUCAUUCCAAAUUUAUCCGCUGAGAAUUCAAAACUCGUGCACUCAAACUGAGGUGAAGAGAUCAUUUUAUUUGGAUCAACUAGAGGUGGAUCCGCUCUGAAUUUCCUCUUAUUCCUACUUCCUUUUUCCAAGACUGUCACAGCCGGUGUAUAUUGAGCCGAUGGCGUAGCACAUGCCUUUGCAACCAUUGAUGCCAUUACUUAGCAGAUUUAGAGCUAAAAAGUUUUGAGCAAAUCAAAGGUAGGAUAAAUCUAAGAGCAUGGAGAUUAGAGAAAGAGUAGAGAAGAUCCUUUU